AUUGAACGCUGGCGGAAUGCUUUACACAUGCAAGUCGAACGGCAGCACGGACUUCGGUCUGGUGGCGAGUGGCGAACGGGUGAGUAAUGUAUCGGAACGUGCCCAGUCGUGGGGGAUAACGUAGUGAAAAUUACGCUAAUACCGCAUACGAUCUAUGGAUGAAAGCGGGGGAUCGCAAGACACCGCGCGAUUGGAGCGGCCGAUAUCAGAUUAGGUAGUUGGUGGGGUAAAGGCCCACCAAGCCAACGAUCUGUAGCUGUUCUGAGAGGACGACCAGCCACACUGGAACUGAGACACGGUCCAGACUCCUACGGGAGGCAGCAGUGGGGAAUUUUGGACAAUGGGCGAAAGCCUGAUCCAGCCAUUCCGCGUGCAGGAUGAAGGCCCUCGGGUUGUAAACUGCUUUUGUACAGAACGAAAAGGUUUCUACUAAUACUAGGAGCUCAUGACGGUACUGUAAGAAUAAGCACCGGCUAACUACGUGCCAGCAGCAGCCGCCG
RNAcentral lists this ribosomal RNA (500 nucleotides) under uncultured bacterium. RNAcentral describes it as "partial 16S ribosomal RNA". It matches the Rfam family "Bacterial small subunit ribosomal RNA", at positions 30 to 523 of the family's 1533-position model. The record is from RNAcentral.